AAUAAUUUCCUAUUGAAGUCAUCUUAACAUGGAACCAGAAUUAAAUCCUAACAACAAUCAUGUGAGCCUGGGGAGGAUCCUUCCCCACGUGAGCCUUCAGGGGAGACUUCAGCCUUGGCCAUCUUCUACAUCUAGAUUCCUGACCAAGAGAAGCUGUUUAGAAUAGUUCACCAGUGAAGUCAUCUCAACCAGCACAGGGCCUUGACUCCUAACAACAAUCACACGAACUUGGAAGAGGAGCCUUCCCCAACUGAACCUUCGCUUGAGACCUCGUCCUUGGCCAUCCUCUACAUCUGGAUUCAUGAUACAGAGAAACUUGAGUAAUGAUGACACUAGCAGUCCAGCCUGCAUGGAUGCUGACAUGGAUGCUGUCUCCCAUUCUUACCACUGGAUGGGAAGAAAUGCUAGAUGCAAUCCAGCCAGUCUGUACUCGACUGUCAGUUCCAUCUUCUCAACUCACAGUGUCUUCCAAAGUCCGUGCCACACCACAGCCUGGAACAUCUCCCAAGGUUUCAAAUAAUUCAUCAGUGAAUUCUUCUCAACCUGGUCAAUCAUGUGAACUUAGAAGAUGAUUCCUCCCCAGCUGAUCCUCAGGCCUCUCUGGAUGGUGACUAUAACCUAUAGCCUUGCCCAAUAUGACUCAGGAUUUGGUACUGGCUGUGCCUUUCAUGGGAUGCUUACUUAUCCUGGUCGAUGGCCUAAAGCCCAACCGUCCAGCUUAUAUCCAGAUCCUUUGGCAUUUGAGAGUUGCUUUGUGUAUACGGUCCUUUAACGGAGCAAAUGGCCAGCCAGGAAACCAAAGUAUGGACAAGGGGAAAGAAGCGUCUGUGGAGGAAGUUUUACAAGCGCCCUCCUCAUCCAUUUGGGUGGUGUUGCCCAUAUGCUACAUGUCUGUGGACCACUAUGUGUGUUUAAAGCUUUUUAGUAAAACGUUACUAAAAACUAUGACUCACUGUGGUGAAAAAGGUGGCAAAACAGUGACAACA
RNAcentral lists this long non-coding RNA (986 nucleotides) under Homo sapiens (human). RNAcentral's name for it is "HSALNT0217475". The record is from RNAcentral. Lineage: Eukaryota; Metazoa; Chordata; Mammalia; Primates; Hominidae.